RNAcentral lists this ribosomal RNA (330 nucleotides) under uncultured bacterium. RNAcentral describes it as "bacterial SSU rRNA". It matches the Rfam family "Bacterial small subunit ribosomal RNA", at positions 568 to 898 of the family's 1533-position model. The record is from RNAcentral.
UCCGUAGACGGUGCGGUAAGUCGGAAGUGAAAUCUCUGGGCUUAACCCAGAGGCUGCUUCCGAAACUGCCGUGCUAGAGUGCGAGAGAGGCGAGUGGAAUUGCGGGUGUAGCGGUGAAAUGCGUAGAUAUCCGCAGGGACAUCCGAGGCGAAGGCGGCUCGCUGGAUCGCAACUGACGCUGAGGGACGAAAGCUAGGGGAGCAAACAGGAUUAGAUACCCUGGUAGUCCUAGCCCUAAACCAUCAGGACUUGGGGUUUGCCCUGUACGGGGCAAGUCCCGUAGCUAACGCGUUAAGUCCUGCGCCUGGGGAGUACGGUCGCAAGGCUGAA